This is a non-coding RNA of Lonchura striata (white-rumped munia), 446 nucleotides long. NCBI's taxonomy places the organism in Eukaryota, Metazoa, Chordata, Aves, Passeriformes, Estrildidae. The record is from RefSeq and is a predicted model, not a curated record.
UGGCACAGCAGCUCUGCAGGGAGGAAGGCACUUUUCCCCGUGUGUUUGUCCCAGGCUGCCCUGCCAGGUGUCUGCAGCAGGGGGAAGGAGCCAGGGCUGUGGCCAGGAGCACCAUGGGUGGUGUUGAACCUCACAGGGAGAAGACGGUCACAUAUUUAACACAGGAGCUUUGUGCGUAUUUUGGGCCGCUGUGGAUGAGAGCCUCUGCUGUAAAGGAGAGGGGCUCCAAUGCUAUCAGCGUUAUCAGCUGAUGUGUAAGCGAUGCCUCGCAGGCAGCAGCCUGGAGCUGAGCAACUGUGCCAUCAUCCGGCCGGGAUCAGCAGCGGGUCCCCGGCUGCCACGGAACCUUCCUUCCCUCUGAGACAUAUCCUAUCGACUGACAGAAAUUAUUUUUUGGAAUCAAAGCCGGGGAAGAAAAAUAAAUCUGGAGGGAAAGGCUAUUAUUG